RNAcentral lists this ribosomal RNA (396 nucleotides) under Shewanella algae. RNAcentral's name for it is "bacterial SSU rRNA". It matches the Rfam family "Bacterial small subunit ribosomal RNA", at positions 329 to 717 of the family's 1533-position model. Lineage: Bacteria; Pseudomonadati; Pseudomonadota; Gammaproteobacteria; Alteromonadales; Shewanellaceae. The record is from RNAcentral.
GUCCAGACUCCUACGGGAGGCAGCAGUAGGGAAUCUUCCGCAAUGGGCGAAAGCCUGACGGAGCAACGCCGCGUGAGUGAUGAAGGUCUUCGGAUCGUAAAACUCUGUUAUUAGGGAAGAACAUAUAUGUAAGUAACUGUGCACAUCUUGACGGUACCUAAUCAGAAAGCCACGGCUAACUACGUGCCAGCAGCCGCGGCAAUCCGUCGGUGGCAAGCGUUAUCCGGUAUUAUUGGGCGUAAAGCGCGCGAAGGCGGUUUUUUAAGUCUGAUGUGAAAGCCCACGGCUCAACCGUGGAGGGUCAUUGGAAACUGGAAAACUUGAGAGCAGAAGAGGAAAGUGUAAUUCCAUGUGUAGCGGUGACAUGCUCAGUGAUAUGGAGGAACAUCAGUGGCG